RNAcentral lists this ribosomal RNA (425 nucleotides) under uncultured bacterium. RNAcentral's name for it is "partial 16S ribosomal RNA". It matches the Rfam family "Bacterial small subunit ribosomal RNA", at positions 354 to 796 of the family's 1533-position model. The record is from RNAcentral.
GUUAGGAAUAUUGGACAAUGGGCGAAAGCCUGAUCCAGCCAUGCCGCGUGAACGAUGAAGGCCUUCGGGUUGUAAAGUUCUUUAGCCGAUGAUUAUAAUGACUGUAGUCGGAAAAUAAGCCCCGGCUAACUUCGUGCCAGCAGCCGCGGUAAUACGAAGGGGGCGAGCGUUAUUCGGAAUCACUGGGCGUAAAGCGUGCGUAGGCGGCUUUGCAAGUUGGGAGUGAAAGCCCAGGGCUCAACCCAGGAAUUGCUCUCAAAACUGCAAGGCUCGAAUUCGGGAGAGGAUAGCGGAAUUGUCAGUGUAGCAGUGAAAUGCGUAGAUAUUGACAGGAACACCAGUGGCGUAAGCGGCUAUCUGGACCGAUAUUGACGCUGAGGCACGAUAGCGUGGGGAUCAAACAGGAUUAGAUACCCUAGUAGUCC